GCCGUCUCAGUUCGGAUUGCACUCUGCAACUCGAGUGCAUGAAGUCGGAAUCGCUAGUAAUCGCGGAUCAGCAUGCCGCGGUGAAUACGUUCCCGGGCCUUGUACACACCGCCCGUCACGUCAUGAAAGCUGGUAACACCUGAAGUCGCUUCGCCAACCCUUCGGGGAGGUAGGUGCCGAGGGUGGGACUAGUGAUUGGGACGAAGUCGUAACAAGGUAGCUGUACCGGAAGGUGCGGCUGGAUCACCUCCUUU
Molecule: ribosomal RNA, 254 nt
Filed under: Chloroflexota bacterium
Lineage: Bacteria; Bacillati; Chloroflexota
Description: Chloroflexi bacterium partial 16S ribosomal RNA
Rfam family: Bacterial small subunit ribosomal RNA
Source: RNAcentral